AAAUGAGGCUGCUCGGCUCGGGCAACGAGCAGCAUUUGUGUGCUUCUGCUCUCUUACGAGCCCGACCUACUUACUGGGCUCGUUUUGUAGCAGGGUCAGUGAUGAGUCAGCCAGCUGAAAAUGAAUCAAGCCUCUGGGCUCCGGUGCCACGAUAUGGAGCAUGAUACAUCACCGAGGGAGGCGAAAUACGUUCUACAUUUCAGGCCAUGUCCAAAGCCCGUCAGCAGAUGCAUUCCUCCUGUACCAGCAGCUCAGCUGCAGCAUCCCUCCCGCCGCCGGGAUGUUAGCUCUGGCCCCUCCGCGGGCAGCCACCCAACAUCUUAAAGCCCUGCGACUCCAUCGAGACCUCUGUUGAGCCCUAGGAACCUCCAGAAAAAAAAUCAGAAACCCAAGCCAAGCUGAGGGGGAAGGCAAACAGCCACAAACACAGCGGGGAGGGUUGCGCCGAGCUUCCCCAGGGCCAGGCGGGUGGUGUCCUGGUGCCACUUUGCACAGCUCCAGCAAUUUGUCAACAGCAAUUAUUUGUCACGCCUUGCUGCCCUUUAUGGGAGCAGCCUUUUAACAAGAAAAAGAGGCAGUCACACUGUUGUCUUGAGCCGCUUCAAGCUGCUUUUGCCUAGGACUGUGUUGGAAGACCAAGCAAAGCGCACCCGGUGCGAGGCUGCUCUGUCGCAGGGGCGAAGAAGGGAUUUCUGCAGCACAAACCGCUCGAGGGGGCUCGGCAGAGCUUCCAGGAAAUUGUUUGAUGCUGAUUG
This is a long non-coding RNA of Oxyura jamaicensis (ruddy duck), 755 nucleotides long. RefSeq lists it as uncharacterized. The record is from RefSeq and is a predicted model, not a curated record. Lineage: Eukaryota; Metazoa; Chordata; Aves; Anseriformes; Anatidae. The transcript has 2 exons.